AUAACACGGGGUUUUAGGUGAAUUCUGGCUUCCAAGCCUUGCUUGAUAGCCUAUUACAAGGGUGUAGACUCUUUGUUCUUUGAGAAGCAAAGAGCCCCCGAGCAAUAUUUUGAGUUGUGCUCAGUGGGUGCCUAUGUUUGAGUUGUGCUUUUGCAACACUCUCUUUGGCCCCCAAGUGAUUUCCCUGGUGGUCUUACGCCGAUCAAGAGGUGUAGCUAUGGUUCGAAUACGACCAAGCCCCCAAGUGAUUUCCCUAGUGGCCUUAAGUCGAUCAAGAGGUGUAGCUAUGGUUCGAAUACGACCAAGCCCCCAAGUGAUUUUUUUAUAUAUGGCUUUAUAGGCUGGAUCAAUGGGUAAACAGAACUCCUCUUUGUAAACAAAGCCCCCGUGUGAUCAAUAAUAUGAUAAGCCAAUAAGGCAGGAUACCCAUGUUUGAACCGCGCAUCAUGGCAACAGGCCCUCUUCGGCAACCUUUAACUUUUUGCAAGAGAUAAAUUCUUCUUGAACCGGGAUUUUUGAACCGGAUAUUGAGAGCGUCAGAGCUUUGCAAGAGAUAGUUUCCUCUUAAACCAGAUUUGAACCAGAUACUAAGGGCUUCAGCGCUGUGUGGGAGACGGGAUUUCCCUUAAACUGGCAUUCUUCAUUUUGAACAGGAAAUUUUCUGAUAGCCUUUAAACUUCCAUCAAUAUGGUAGUAGCCUCCGAGACCAGGUUAUCUUUCCCUCCAACAUCCUGGGGUUCUUGAAUUAACUGAAAACCGGCAACAUUUGCUGAGUCAUAUCAUUGUAGCCCCCGAGUCUCAAGGCGACUCGAGGAGUUGGCUUGAGAUUCUCCAUAUUUUGACUGUGAUAUAAACCGACAUAAAUUGUAUAUCAUUGGUGUUUGAUAUGUGACGCCCCCAAUUUGACCGUACACUAAUCAUACACGCAAAUGUGUACGACCAAGAUCAAGGACUCACGGGAAGAUAUCACAACACGACUCUAGACACAAAUAAAAUAAUACAAGCUUUAUAUUACAAGCCAGGGGCCUCGAAGGCUCGAAUACAAAUGCUCGAAGGCACAAGAGUCUGCGGAAGCAACAAUAUCUGAGUACAGACAUAAGUUAAACAAGAAUGCCUUAAGAAGGCUAGCACAAAAGUAGCAACGAUCAAAAAAUGCAAGGCCUGCUGCCUGGGACCUCCUAACUACUCCUCGAAGUCGAACUCCAUGUAGAAUCAUCAUCGGGAUCCUCUGGCUCCUGGACUCCAACAUCUAGUUGCGACAAACGGGUAUAGAAAGGGAAAAAGGGGGAGCAAGGCAACCGUGAGUACUCAUCCAAAGUACUCGCAAGCAAGGAGCUACACUACAUAUGCAUGCAUUGGUAUCAAAUGGAAAAGGGGUAGCAUAUGUGGACUGAACUGCAGAAUGCCGGAAUAAGAGGGGGAUAGCUAGUCCUAUCAAAGACUAUGCUUCUGGCGACCUCCAUCUUGCAGCAUGUAGAAGAGAGUAGAUGGUAAGUUCACCAAGUAUCAUCGCAUAGCAUAAUCCUACCCGGUGAUCCUCCCCUCGUCGCCCUGCACUACAAAAAAAGACACAUCCGUGACAUUUUGGGCCGAAUGAAUUUUUUUUCUGUCAUACAUAUGACACUUCUACGACGAUAAUUGUGACAAAACCCGGUAUCAUCAUAGAUUUGGUGGGCUCCUACUUCUAUGACAAAAAAUCAUGAUAGAAAAUGGGCUUUUCGUCCUGGGCGGGCCGGAGACGCAGCUGCAUGACAUUCUUUGGGCCGUCCAUGACGGAAAAAACCGUGGUAGAAGCGAGAGGGAGGAAAAUUUUGGGGAGUUCCCGGUUACGGUGGGAGGUCGGGGGCCGAGCGAUGCGCGUUUCUCUCAUACACGUACGCGCGUGUGUGCGAGGCGUUGGCUCUAACUGAACCUGGGCGAGGCGUUGGGCUCUAACUUAACCCGAGCGAUUGCACUGCAGGCUACGCGUUACUGAACCUGAGCGAUCGUUCAAUGGCUGUUAACUGAACCCGAUCGAGCGAUUCCUUCGCUACUGCUGCUAACUGAAGCCGAUCGAUGCUGCCUCUGGGAUGAACAGUGAGCGUUGCGGGGGGGGGGUAUGGAUGAACAGUGAGUGGUGGCAUUGCCUCUGGAUGAACAGGACCCCGUGGUGUGGUGGAGGGCUGGAUGAACAGUAGACGGUGGAGGGGUGCCCGUGGAGGGGUGGUUGAACAUGACCCCAUGGUGUGGAGGGCUGGAUGAACAGUAGACGGUGGAGGGGUGCCCGUGGAGGGGUGGUUGAAUAGUAGCCGGUGGAGUAGCGCACGGUGGAGGCUGGAUGAACAGGAGCCCGUGGAGGCUGGAGGAGGUCGACAGUAGCCCGUGGAGGCUGGAGGAGGUCGACGGUGGAGAUGAACAAUAUCCCGUGGAGUCCCGUUUUGCGGUAUGCCACACCCCUCCUGAUGAACAGGACCCCCGUUUCGACUGUAACACUCCAACACAAGUCCAUUUCGUCCGUUUUGUGGUACGCCAUACCCCUCUCGAUCAACAGGACCCCUGUUUUGACCGUAGGAGGUCCGUUUUGUCCGUUUUGCGGUACGCCACACCCCUCCCGAUCAACAGGACCCCCGUUUCGACCGUAGGAGGUCCGUUUCCUCCAUUUUGCGGUACGCCAGACCCCUCCCGAUCAACAGGACCCCGUUCUGAACGUAGGAGGUCUGUUUCCUUCGUUUUGCGGUACGCCAGGCCUCGUUUCCAUCGCCUGUUCCGUCCAAGCCCUCCCGAUGAACACGACCACGCAUUCCGUUCCAACCCAGCCGGUUGGCUCCCACGCGUUCCAUUGCCUCCCGAUGAACACGAAGCAUUCCGUUGCCUCCCCAUGAACACGACGACGACGUUGUUUCUCCGUUCCGACCCAGCCAUGUACAUGAGCCCUGGCCGUACGUAUGCGUGAGUAGGCGUUCAAGACCCUGCCCGUAUGUACACAUACGUGGCCGUAUUUUCUUUCUUGCACCCUGGCUGAUGUACGUAUGUGUACAUGCUACGUGCACGCCUCUACUACGACACGUGCGCGCCUCUACAUCCACAAGUAUAUAUGUACGUACACGUUCGCGACCAGAAUGACAACGCUACAUACGCUUCGACCAGGUGGGUCUCGACUGUCAGGCACUUCCUUGCGUGCGAAGAUGUAGCUGGUGGGUCCCAGCAGUCAGUGGGGCGAAUCGUUUAUUUUGCCCGAACGCACUUCCUUGCAUGCGAAGAUGUAGCUGGUGGGUCCCAGCAGUCAGGGGGAAACAUUUUUUUCGUGAAAUAUGGUGGCCCGUCCGUGGGUUCCCGCUGUCAGGUGGAGGAAUCAUUAUUUUGCGCGUAAUAAGGAAGCACUUCCUUGCUGCGGCCAUGGACCCAGUUGUCAGCCUCUCCACGUACACUCCACGUCCAAUGGAAGUCUUUCCUUGACCACGUUGACCACGCCGCGCCGAGAGCACCACGGCAGUGGAUGACGGCGAGGACUAGGAAGGGGACGACUCGGAGCGGGAAGACGCAGCAGUGGAUGCCCACGCGAAGAGGAGUACAAGAGUUCACUGGUUCGACUGCGGUGUGAGGCUACUGACGCCCCAGAAUAACAGGAGGUGUGGGCGAGUAGAGGGAUGGCCUGGUCAGCGGUGGGAGUAGUAGGGGGCGGUGAGGCCUCCGCGGCAUCACAGCCGGCCACGGGAGGCAGGAGCACGCGGCACGACCGGCGCUGGUUUGGGCGGCUGGAGCAAGAAGACCAGAGGUUGAAGAAGCACUACAGCCGUUGGAUGAACAUCGUACGGUAACAGGAGCUAGAAUCGUUCAUAUUGACUAAGUUGACAAAGCCCUCCAUCCCCGUCAACUUGGUAGGCCCACAAGUCAGCCUCCCAUUAUGCUGGGUUCCAGCUGGCAGGGGGAAUAUUCAUUUUUUUGUGUGUAAUAAGUAGGCACUUCCUUGCGUGCGAAGAUAGCUGGUGGGUCCGACAUGUCAGCGGGGGGCACGUUAUUUUUGUGAAAUUCAGAGGCCCUUCCAGUGGGUCCCAGAUGUCAGGUGGAGGAAUCAUUAUUUUGUGCGUAAUAAGGAGGCAUUUCCUUGUGUGCGGCCAUGGACCCAGCUAUCAGCCUCUCCACGCACAGUCUACUUCCGAUGGUGUCAUUCGUUGACCACGUUGACCACACCGUGCCGAGCGCAUCCAAGGUGGUGGACGACGGCGAGGCCCCGGACAGCAAUGAGCCGGAGAUGGGAAGACGCGGGAGUAGAGUCGUAGACGGAGAGGUGUAUGAGGGUUAACUGGUUCUAGUGCGGUGUGGUUCGGCAGUCGGUGGAGAAGAAUAGGAGGUGUGGAGGGGUGGAGGGAUGGCCUGGCCAAUGGUGGAGUAGCGCUUCAUAGCGAAGCCUGCUAAGUAGAGCUGCUAGCAGCAGGAGGCGGGAGGUGGUCCCAGCGGCGCUGGAGGAAGAAGACAAGAGAUUGAAGAUGGAUGCCGGUCGUUUGAUGUAAAUCCAACGGCUAACAUGUCAGAAUCAUUUGUUGACUAAAUUGACAACGACUUGCGUUGGCUUCGACCUAUUGGCCCAUAUUUCGGCCUCCAAAAAUGUGGCACGUAUUCAACCCAUUUUUUUCAGAAUUUACAGUCUUUUUUUGCGCGGUAGAAUUUACAGUCAAUUUGUUCUUUUUUUGAAUUACAGCCAUUAGCUGGGCUGGGUGAACAAAUAAUGCAGCGUCCAUGCGGCCCAUUUAUUUUAUUUCCUAAAAAAUUACACGCCAUUUGCACUUUCUCAAAAUACACAAUUUUGCUCGGUUGAUUCUAAUUAUAAUGUUGGGUUGGGCCAGCAAUGUUAUCAAGAAAUAAAAAGGGGUUGAGCAUUUUGUUAUAAAUAUAUUUAAAUAAUAAGUGAUAUUAUUACAUUCGUCCUUAAAUCUUACCAAGCUUUUGUACACAAUCACUAGGAUUUUCGUGCCAAAACAAUCCAGGAUUUUAUUUGUUAAGAAAUUAUUUUUAUAAGUUAAUAAGAUGUGGGAUAUUGUUUUCUUAUAUAUGUAAGUAUUUGUUAAAUAUAUGAUGACAAUAAAAAUAAUAUAUAAUAUCAUAUAAAAUAAUUUAAAUAUAUAUAAUAUAGUUAAAAGGGAAACAUAAGUUGGACCUGGCGUUCCUAUUCUUAUAUAGAAAAAUAGAAUAGACCUCUGUGUUUUCUUCAAAAAAAUACAUAAAUUGGGCUGCCAAAAAUAAAACCUCGAAUGGGAGGUCCAUAGGCCGGUCGAUACAUGACGGCCCUAAGAAAAUAAAAACAGGCCUAUGGACCUCCCAUCCGAGGUCGUGGGCUGCGCAUGUUAAAAAUGAAAGCCUAGACGGGGCAGCCCAAAACCACGUCCAACACUUGCCAAAACUUCGUCUCCCGUUUUCUCUGUGUUUCGCACACUCAACAUUGUGUGUGCAUUUUGACUGUGCAUCAUAUGAAGAUGUGCUAUGCAUGAAUGUUGAUCAGCAUGAUGUUAACUGGCUGGUAGUUCCAUUUUCGACCAUGAAUAAAACUUCCAACAUGAUGUUAACCCUGUUUGAAAAGGCCGUGUUAAUAUAAAUGCUCUUCCUCUGAAAGUUGCAGUUUCUUAUCUGAAAUUGAACUUGCAGUUUCUUAUCUGAAACUGAAACUUGCAGUUUCUUCUCUGAGAAUCACAUUGUCUGCACUUUUAUACUUCUAUGAAACUACAUUUUUUAAGUGCUAAAAAUAGAUCUCUAGAAUUCGUAAAAUACUUCAUAUGCUCAAUACUGCAAAUCUGAUAUUCAAAAGACAUUCAUAUCUGAAAGUACUCUCAAAAUACACAACACAAAACACAAUUCACAACCUGCAAAUACUGAGAACCCUAAGCUCUUCCUGACAAUUCACAACUUGCCCGACUAUUGGGCUAGGGGGGCAGCCCCCUCCUAUUCCUCGGCGGCAGACAGUCGCCCCGUGAGAUGAUGUGAACGGCGAGGGGACGAUGGCGGGGAAGCGUCGUUGGGCCAACUGCUUUUCUCCUCUUGCGGUUGGGUUCGGUCGACGAAGACUCCAUCGGCUCACUCUGGCAGGACACCCUCACAAACGGCACCCUCUAGAUGCUCGAUCCUUCAAUCUCUGGUGGAUGCUCCAUCUGGGAUCGAUACUCCCACCACCACUCCCUCACGAUUGGAUUCAGUGAAUCUGUUUGCUCCAUGGCCCAGAGGAGCAACUCUAUGUACUCCGGCGUGACUCCCUCCGGGAGUAUCGUCGCCUUUUCGCUCUGUUGCAGAUAUUUGGCCAUGGAUGUCACCGUCGCCGCUAGUUGGUCCUUGUUGUCAAACCAAGACUGUAUCUCCAACAUCCUAGCUAUCUUCACACGGUCGCCGUCUGCGAUCCUCAUGUAUCGGUUGUACUCCUCCAUCGAUCUACUUCUCCACAGCACCUUCACUCUCUGGCGGUGGUAUUUGAAUGGAAGAGGAGAGGAGCAGCGCUGGUUUUGGAUUAGAACAGGAGAGGAGCGACGCUGGUUUUGGACUAGAACAGGAGAGGAGGGGUGGUGGUUUUGAAAUGGAAGAGGAGAGGAGUGGCGCUGCAUUUAGAUUGGAACAGAAGAGGAGCGGCGGUGGUUUAAGAGGAGAAGAGCGGAAGAGCGGCGCUGGUCUUGGAAGUAUUUUUUUUUGUUUUGCAUAUUUUGGGUCAAAGUUUGACCACGUACUGUAUUUGACAAGCAAAAUGUGAAUGCAUGUCACCAAAAAUUGUAUCAUUUGGUUCGUAUCUGAAUGUACUUUCAAAUAUAUUAUUUUUGCAACGUAUAACAUAUAUUUUAUGUGCGAAAACCAUGGUCAAUUAUGACCCAGAAUAAAAGGGAUACUAGUUAAUGUGGGGUUGCUUUCUUAAUUGAAGGGUAAAUUGAUUUUGAUCUAGUCACAGCGCGUCGGCCCUCUCGUCCAAUCCUAAAUCGCUGCCGCACGCUCCUCUCCCUCUUCUCCAUUGCAAAACCACCUCCUCUCCUCCCCAUCAUCUCCAUUCCAAAACCACCAUCUCGCCUCUCCCUCUUCUGAUCUUCUCCAUUGCAAAACCACCUCCUCUCCUCUCCAUCAUCUCCAUUCCAAAACCACCGUCUCGCCUAUCCCUCUUCUGAUCUUCUCCAUUGCAAAACCACCUCCUCAUGCACAUGGCCCGGAGGCGCAGUUGUCGUCAUUUUGAUCUGAAGCGUCGGAUUAUAACAUAUAACACGAAAAAUGCCACAUGACAAGAAAUCAUAACCUCGCUGCCCAAAGGAGACAACAUGAAUCGUGACGGACAAACUAGACGAGGAACAAAGCUCAAAUUAAAGAUAAACUCGUAGAAAAGGGGUCCGUCGAUAGAUGUCCUAAUUAACAUAGCCGGCUUGAUCUAGAUGGCAGCCGAGUAGUCACUGUUCGUGCAUGUGCCCCCAAUGACUAGCCCAACUCAAUUAUCGCUGUUUAACCCUCGCAGUGACCCGAAGCACAUGACACCUAAUUUUGCGAGAUGACAAGAAACCUUUUUUUAGACUUCUCACCACAACUACAGCCAUGUACAACACAGCCUGCACGAUAUGUAGACGAUAGCCAAUCCAGGCGUGUCUGCUGGAGUCUGGUCACAUGCAUGGAUGAAUUGAUCUUCCGUGUCUUGCAGGGAUCGUCCAGGCACCAACGUAGUACAACGCUUCUCUAGUACUAUCGCUCGGCUCCCUCUUCUAUUAAGUCACCCGACUUGCGGGGCCGGGGAGUGUGCCUAUGGUCGGUUCUCAAUUGCCGUCCCACAUGUGUGUGCAAAUGCAAUAUGACGCGCGUUCCAUUCGGAGAGCAGCGUGCCAGACCGACCGACCGUCUGGGGUGCGACGCGAAUGAGGCGGGUGUGUUGUAUACUCCAUACAUGUGUACCGCCGUUUUCUAGACGCUUUGCUCCAUGGCGUGGGCGCAAUCCAUGGAUACAAAAUUAGUAUACUGUAUACUAUUUAAAAGUCGAGGGCGGGGCUUUUCCUGCGUGGUAGGCGGCGGGGCAGUUCCGCCUAGUUGGUUCGACAGAGACGCGAGAAGACGAGGGAGUAGGCUGCUGCAAACGUAGGGCUGUGUGAUUUGACAGCGAGUUACUGCUGGACAGGUGGGGCCCCAUGAUUUGACUUGCCAUUAUCAUUUUAACUACGGUGUUACAACUGGCGUAAGUCUCCCGAUUCUUGACCUCCAUUACAAAGAAAGAGAUAGAGAGGAGUAAAAAAUUACACUUAUAGCCAACCUUGUUGUAGUAUGAGUGACUAAGUGAUGACUAUGUAUGACAUGCCAACAUCAGAUAGCCUAACGCACCGUGUUAAAUCUCCAAGGGCGCGACCGCGCGAGUGAUGCGACGGUCGUGGUAGGCGCGACCAUGAUACGGGCUGCUGGCAGCCCUUCGAUCUGAGAUCAAACGGUCGCAUGCUAAGUUGCUGAAAAUUUGCAAAGUAACCCUCCAGGAUAGGAUAUUCACCCAUAGGUCUAGAAUCACGCCAUGCAACCGUUCGAUCUCAGAUCCAAGGGCUCUCGGAAGCCCGUAUCAUGGGAGAAUGGAAAGCCACUACCCUGUCGUUCGCACGCUGGCAGUUCGCUCCUACUCGUCCCUGCACGUCCUUCAAUACUACGGCGGUUCGCUCCUAGUCGUCCCGUCCAUUCACAUUACGACAGUUCCACUAAUCCUAACCCUCCUCCCAAAUCCAUGGCGUCCCAAAUCUCCACGAUCGGCGGUGAGUACAAGGUUAGAACCAUCACCGGCGAUGAGUUCAACGUCAUCUACACCCGUUCUUCCGCCAUGGUGAAAGGAUUCCUUUCUCGCUUCAGGUGCAAGUUCGAAAACUCAGAUGAUGAGUGGGUCGCUGGGCUAGAUGUUGAGUACACCACAGUCCUGGGACUAGAGAAGGAUCUAAAGGACGAACAGAGGAAGAAGCCCACCGUGAUCCAGGUUUGCGUACAUAACGUUUGCUUGGUCUACCACAUAUGCCAUGCCGACGUUGAGUGCCAGGAUUUUAAGAACUUCCUCAAGGACAAAAUAGUGAAAUUCAUUACUGUAGACUUUAAGAACGACAGGGAUGUCCUGCGCCGGAUAGGUCUCGUUGUAGGCAACCCCUUCGACCUCUAGAAGAAUCGACUGGUGUCCUCUCAUUAGCCUUCAAUGCUGACCCUAGCAGGAGCCAUGGUUCAUCCUUUGUAUGGUAAACUGUAGAAACCUCCAUACACAUUUCAUCAUCAUGCAUGGCAGUGGAAUGUACUAGAUAUAGACCACAUCCACUACGCUGCAAUGGAUGGCUACCUUUGCUUCAAUAUCUACAAGGGUUGGAUGAAGAGCAACAGCCAAGUGUGCGGUUCAAGCAAAGAAGUAUCGGCCAAGAGGAAGAGGGACAAGGACGAAGUCGAGGACGUGGACGAGGACUCCGAGUAAGGUGGCAGUGUCAUUGCUCAUGGUGGUUCUAAUGCAGUGUCUACCGGAAUAGUUGCAAAGUUUAAUUUCAGGUGUGCUUAAUUUAAUUUGAGGGGUGUGUUGUGCUGAGCCCCCAGCAGAACUAUGUUAUGUUUCUUCUCGUUACUUUAACUCUUCAGUACGUACAUACUAGUAUUUCUUACAUUUCAUCUUUUAGUUGGUAUAGUACUACCACUCAUUUCUUCACAUUAUAUACAUACAAUAUAUAUGGCCAACAUCAUAUAGCCGGCAGUUUAGUUGUCAAAGAAUUUCAGGGUGCUUAUUUUGUCAAAGAAUUCCAGGAUGCUUAGAGGGUGCUUGGAUCCAAGGGACUUAUUUUAGUCUGACUAAAAAUAGUCUCUUUAAGAGGCUAAAGUUCCAAACACACCUGACUAAAGAGGGGCUAAAACUAGUCUUGAGACUAAAAAAAUUUAGUCAGGGGUACCCCUACUAAAAUGUGGAUUAGUCCUCUCUCUACUCAUUUAACUCCUCUCCUUUAACACAAGCGAGUUCUGGAUUGGAGGGUUUGGAGGAUAAUAAAUGCUUAUUAACUUGAUUUUAGCCUUUUUAGUAUUUGGAUCCAAGCAUGGGUGAGGCUAGCAUGUUUUAGUCCCACUACUUUUAGUCAUGGGACUAAAACGUAUCCAAGCGCCCUCUUAGUUUUAUUUGAGGGGUGGGUUGUGCUGGACACCAUUAUUGUGACUAGCCUUUUUAAUAGUACUAUAUGCAUAAUUUGGCGACGAGCGCUCUCUAUAUGUACCACCUUUUUUUAAUUUCAAGUUUUGCUCCAUGGCGCAAUCCAUCGAUACUACUGUUGUACAAAAGUAUACAUUUCUUAAAAGGCUAGAGGACAGGGCAGUCUAGCUUGGUCGGUUUCACGGGAGGCGAGGGCCUUUGUGAUUUGACGGUUCAUUACUGCUGGAAGGCGGGGCCUUGUGAUUUGACUGCUCAUAUAAAUGCGCUGACGACCUGAUCGAGGAGAAGCAAAGAAUCGUGCGGUAUACUCAAGUUUUCCAUUGGAGUAGUACUGCGACGGAGGAGCAUGAAACACGACAGCCCAGUGCCAUAUGGCGAUAAAAAUGAUCUAAUUUUCUAGUCAUCUCAUUGUUAGCAUUGUUCUAUUCAUUCGCUCAAAAAAACCAUUGUUCUAUUCAUGCCUUGCAGAGAACGUGACAUGUGCGGCGAAACAUCUGAAGCAAAAGAUGAAACACAGGAGCAAAAGAAGAAGGAAGAUUAUCACCCCAAAUGAUCUAAUUCGCCGCGGAGUCGUAACUGCUUCUUCAUCGCCUCCACGACCUCCAUCUCCUUGCGUGUCUCCUCCGCCAUCUUCUUCAUUCUGUCCAUGACGCGGGAUUUCUCGAUGCGGGCCUUCAUUAUCUGUUCCACGGCCGCAUUACGUACCUUGACAGCAGCCGGGUGCUCGAUGCGGAGCUUCGCCAACUCCUCCUUCUGUUCCAUGAUGAGGGCCUGCAGCAUCUUCAUCGAGGAACUACUAUUCUCAUGCAGCUUCUUCCAGCCGGCGUUCUUCUCCUUCAACAGGUCGAUCUCGUGGCAGAGCUUCGCUUGUCCUCCUGAAGUCACAGGAUUUCGCCGGUUGCCUUCUUCUCUGAGGCAAUGCUCUUCUUCAGCAGCAUCACCAAGCCGGCGGUCAACUCCCCCUGCUGAUUGAGCUCAGCGGGCAUGUCAUCAAGGCUCUCCUUCAGCAACUCCAUCAAGCCUUGGAUGAACUCCUUUUGCUUAUUGAGGUGCUUAUUGAGCUGAUCGGGCAUGCCGUCGAGGGAUAACGACUCCAGCUCCGCCGGCUCGGCAUGUUCACCUCUGUGGCUAGGGCGCUCAUGGGAGCCAUCGCCUACCCGUGAGAUAUCUUUCAAGGUCUCUGCGUGGCGGCGAGCCCUCUCUUUUUUUCCACAGCCUUGGUUGUCGCUCCCUUGUUAUGAGUAGUUCUCGACCUAGAGCUCUGCUCACCGGCCAUGGCAACAACGUACGAAGAAGAAGCACUUAUGAGGAGGAAAGGUAGAUUAAUUUUCGGUUAGGUAGUUCCCCUUUUUAUAACCUAAGUACUAGCACUAGUACUAAUACCUGCAUAGUGGGAACACGUUCAGGUUUGGUAUGUACUAGUAGGUGUGAGCAGGCUUUCGAAUGUGAUGGGAACAAGGUAAAGAUUAAUUGAUGGUUUUGGUUUCGAGGCCCGAAACGGCUCCCGAUGAGUUUAGCGGAACAUAAAUUUCAAGUACUACACUGCUCAAAUGUGUAAAUAUUAUGUUACUGUCAAAAAUUGGCACAAAAUACGAAGGAGACCAAUGGAAGUACUACUAGCAACCCACGAUUUAACUACUCACGUGCACGCAGGGAGUAAUAAUUGGCACAAAAUAUGAAGGAGACCAUCAAUGAAGUGAACGACUUUACACGCGUCAAAUUAUCACAUGGGGUGGAUCUUGGUACAAAAUCGCGUUCGCCCGUGUAUCCGCGUGUGCGUGCGAGGGAAUGAGUGCGUGUGUGGCAUGCACGCACAUCUUCGCUUCGUGCAUUUACCGCCAGUAUGGCUCAGGGAGGACGAGUACAUUCUUCUGGAACCAGCAGCACGUCACUGUGAUCAAUCCACGCAAGGAGGUCGCGACAACACCUCCACAUGUGCCACGUGGCUUCAUGAACUGUAAGAGAGACACUGUGUAGUGUGCCAUUGGUAUUCUAAUUUACGUGUUUUGCACAUAAUCGAAGUACUAGUAAGGUACACGUGCAUUCCACGCAUCAGAUUUUGCAACCAAAUUAUGAAUAAAUACCACACUAUAGCAUGUAAGCUCUGAGUCAUAUAUGCCUGAUGUAGCCCUUCAUUUAAUUCUUAUAGUUCAUCUCAUUCAAAAUCAAUUAGUUUUUAUAAAAAAGCUAAGAAUGCGGGAAUGGGAAAAACAUGGGAUUAUAGUGGAAUGUCGUCUUGAAUCCUACAGGAUUGUACGAGUGUUUGAUUGUGCAUAAAAAACGUAGAAUUCUUUCAAAGAGGUUUGAGUGGAUGGGAUGUUUCCUAUGAAAUCUAGUGCAAAUGAAUCAUAUGGAAAAAUUCCUAUGGUUUACAAUCCUACGAAUUAAACAACCAAGAUAGGAAAAAUUCCUAAUGAUUAGAAUCCUCCAAAAUUCCUUUGAGAAUCCUUUGAAUCAAAGAAGCCCUUAAUCUAUUUUAUGAUUCAUGGAAUUGUGUGUUGUACAGCAUAAAGUAAAAACAAAUAAUGGCAAUUCAACUAGAAAAAAGUUUGGGCAGUUAUGAUACAGAAGAUUCUAGAACAAAAGAGAACCACUGUUGUUUUGAGGUUUGUGCAUUAUGCUUAAGUUCAACCAUGGAAUCUGCUAGAUUGUACAUGUGGCAAAAUCCGGUGGGGGCUAGAAGAUGGUGCGAGGGGCCGAGUGGAGGGAGACUAUGAAGGAAUGCACAGGUGCGAGAUCAAUAUUUAGAGAGAGGGGGCGAACACGUGCGCUGUUGCGCGCAGUGGCGGAGCCAUGAAAAAUAAAUGAGCUAGGGGGCCAAGCAUUGCUAAUCCUUUACGAGGAGGGUCAAUUCAUGAACUUAAACCAUUUUUAGCAGCAAUUGUCUAAUGAUCACAUUCAUAUUAGCCUGGAUAUAUAGUGAUGUUAGGGGGGAGGGGGCAGGGCCAUUACUGCCCCCUGUCUUUGCCAUUGUGCAUGCGUCUAAGAGAUGAAGCGGAAGGCAUGGAUGAUGAGAGGGGGGCGUUGGAUAUAUAAUUAAUGUGGGUGUAUUAGCUAUAUAUGUUAAUCCUAUAUAGAGAGGUAUAGAUUGAUCGAUGUGGAUGUGGGAAAGAGGGUGAGACCUCACUGGAUAUAUCGAUUGAUCGGUUUGUGUGGAAAACUAUGAAAGACCUGGCUAUAUACACACAUACAUAAAGGAACAUCGAUCGUUGCGCAUGCACGCGUGAGAGAUAAAGAAUGUCCGAUAUGAUGGAGAGGGGGAUGUGUGUGGGUGUGUGCCUUCAUGGGAGACCGACCUGAAGAAAAAGAUUGCAUGCGUGCGAUGGAUAAUGCCGACUGGUAGUGUGUGUGCAUGCAUGCACGAGAGAAAGUUAGUGGUACAAUUAUAAAGAGAAGACUACUGUGUGGGUGUAAAAGAAUAGGUGAGGUCAUAAUCAAUGUAAAGUUGAAUUCAAAUAUUUGAAUAAGAGAUCCUGAUGUUUGAAACCCAUGCAUGCAUGAAUAUAACGGACAUCUGCACGGUGUGGUUUGGAAAUGAGCAUGUUGUAAUGUAUACACAUUAAACAAGGUCAGAUUGAUUUGAAUUUGAGAUACCGGUGGCAGACAUCAUUUGGCCACGUCGCAUCCGUGCAUGGACACACUAUUCUAAUUGGAGAUGAUGGGCGGCUUUCGCAUCACAUAUCUAUAUCUAUACCCCUAUAUAUAUAUUAUAUUUUAUAUUUUUUUUAUAUUGUGUGCGGGUAACUUUAACUUUGAAAGAUGGUCAUUGGAUGAGGCGAAUCCGAUGGUCCAAAGAUGGCAAAUUUGAGCACUACUGGCCGUUGGAUAUCAUCUAGAUUCCACCAGAUUUCGCCACAUGUAUAAUCUAGAAGACUCCAUGGUUGAAAUUAAGCAUAAUGCACAAACAUCAAAACACAAGCACUUCUUAUUUGUUCUAGAAUCUUCCAUAUCAGAAUUGCUCAAAUUUUUUUCUACGUGAUUUGCCAUUAUUUGUUUUUACUUUAUGUCUUACGACGCACAAUUCCAUGAAUCUUAAAAUAGAUUAGCUUUCUUAUAAAAACUAGAUGAUUUUGAAUGAAAUGAACUAUAGGAAUUAAACGAACAUCUACAUCAUGCAUAUAUGACUCAAAGCUUGCAUGCUAUAAUGUGGUAUUUAUUCAUAAUUUGGUUGCCAAAUCUCAUGCGUGCAAUGCACGUGUACCUUACUCUAGUCUAAAUGGUGUCUGUGUGUGUGUGUGUUGUGCGUGUUGAGGUGCAAAUUGUCUUUUUCUUGGUACACGUUAAGCUUGUUCUUCCGAAAUUUCAAGCCGCGCCUUGUUAUGCCAAAAAUUCAAGCUAGCGUCUCUGUCUAUCGUGCUGCGAAACUCCCGCCUCUUCAACACGCGCCUUGUUAGCCCGAAAUAUUUAAGAUAUAUCUUUGUCUCGCUGUGCUCCGACAACUCCCUCCAUCUCAACCCGCGCCUUGCUAUUCUGAAAUUACAACGCGCGCGAAAACUCCCACCUCCUGUGAAAUCUCGACAUGCGAAAUGCCCGUGGUACCCCUGAACCGAAAAAACCGCCUCAAAUCAGUGGGGGUACUUUUGUAACUUACCCCACAUUUCGGACAAGCGCGUCUCUAAGCCAUGGUUCUCCACUGCCAUCCAAUCCGCCCACCCAUUCGUACACCAAGGCCGCGAAAACCCACGACGAAACCCCACACCCUGCUCCGUCCGCCACCCAGCCGGAGCCUCUUCCCCGACGACGUCGUCCACAACAACACCUCGACGUCCCUCAUCCACCGUACUAGAUGAGGAUCCAUCGUCGAUCUCAUUGUCCCGCCGGUUCAGCCACCCCGUCCUCCACCUCCAAGGAGCUGCCCCGAUGUUCCCCUCGUCUUUCGCGCCACCUCCAUUCCCACACCGCCGUCUUCACCUGCACCACCGGAAGAGCAUCAUCAUCACCGUUUCCUCGGAUGAAGAUGCGGCCUAAUCGGCGCCACCAAAGAGGUUGUACACUAAUCGCCGCAUUUUCUUCUUGAUUCGAUCUCACGGUGCUACCGGCGCUCGGUCCCAAGCCGACACGGCGCGGCUCCAUCCACGGCGGCAUCGCCGGCCACUUCCUCCACGGCGUCGCUCCCUCGGCGGUGACGUCCACAUUAGUAGGAGCUGCUGCUGCAUUAGCUCUCGCUCGCGCUGCUGCUCUGCUCUUGCUCUCGGUCCCCUGCCUGGUCUGCUCUUGCUAUUGCUCUUGCUCGCGCUGCUGCUCUCGCUCUUGCUCUUGCUUGUGAUGCUGCUCCGAUUUAGCUACACUUCAGUCGACUGAAUCAACUUUUGGGUCAGUCAAUUUUUAGGGGGUGGGGGGCUCGCCGGGGUGAAGGAAGAACCAGCCGCAUCGGGGAGGGGGGCUCACCGGAGAGGUACCCCACUAUCUAUCUUAGGGUUCAGGAUGGGGGCGGUGGUCGCCGGCGGUGGCGGGGCGGUGGCAUGGGGAUCGUCGUAGAAAAAGCUUGGCAUGAGGAGCCCUAGAGGGAUGGACGGGGCGGCGGCGGACCGGUGGUGGGGAGUGUUUUCGGGGCGGGCGGGGCGGCGCACCGCCGGCCGUGGACGGCGGGGGGCUGUUGUUUGGUCGGUGGUGGCUGGCGGCUCAGGGGGGUGGAGGUUGAAGAUGAACCGCAAGCCCUUGAUUUCGUAUCCAACGGCUGCAAAAUCGACUGACCAGAGAUGAAAAACUUAGUCGACCGACGUGUAGCCUCACCUUGCUAGUGCGUUCAGUUUCGACAGCAAAAUUCAGUUUCGAUAGCAAAAUUCAGUUUCGACAGUUAAGUUCAGUUUCGACAGUUAAGUUCAGUUUUGAUAGUUAAAUUCAGAUUUGACAGUUAAGUUCAGACAUGAGCGGCUGAUGUAUUUUACAUAUAGCACUUUUUGGUUAUGUAUUUUACGUCAUGUAUUGGAGAUGCUAUUAGAAUUCCACUCGGGUUAACGUUGUUCGUUGUCUCUCUUGUCCUGCUUCAGCCUCGGCGUCGUAUAAUUCACCGGAGCUGCUCCAACGACGAAACCCUCCAUCACAGCGGAGCAGUACCUCGGGCUCCAUCUCCAGAAGCCUAAGAUCUUCUUCCCCUCCUCCGACAGCCAAGUCAGCCGGAGCAUCCUCAUCGGCCAACCCAAUCAAGCUGAGAUCGACAUGGCUUCGCCAAAGAGGUUGUACACUUGUUGCAUCUCUUUUUUACUCUACAUGUUAUAUAUAUUGUCCACUGAGCACUCGUAGUAACGGGAAAUACGAUUAUUUUAUCCUACUAUAUGACAAGCAAUGAGUUACCAAGAAACUUAGCUAUCCGUGAUGGACUCUCUUGAACGCCAUCAUUAUUCAUCUCUGUGCGUUUGAGCUGUGCAUUUGUCGAUGGGCCUGGGAGUUGAGCUAGUAUGGCAGUGGCCUGGGUCCAAAGUAAUAGAAGUAGCACAAAAACAUUUUUUAGUGUAGGAUUUUCCUUGCUCAAGCCUGCCUACUAGAAUCGCCAGUGCUUGAAAGGAAAAGUGAAUGAAAAACAUCGGAAUUGGAAAGUUUCCUAUGGUGCUACUUUUCAUGAAUUUGGUGCAAAGGAAUGGAGCAAAGGAAAACUGUAGGAUUUGUUCCUUUAGUGUCUCCUUGAAAGAAAAACCGUAGGAAUUCUAAUUUCCACUUCUCCUCCUUUCCAUAUUCCUAUUCAUCAAGCACAAGACUAAGAGAUAGUAGCAUAAUAGCAUUAUAACCAUACAUUUUCUUGUGGUUUGACUUAAUCUCACCAUGCUUUUUUGCAUCCUGUGAUCUUCCAAUUGUUGUGAAUCAAACACCCAGAUUGGCAGAAAUCUUGUGUUUUUAAAUUCUCUGUUUUGCACGUGCAUUCCUAUCCUAUUCAUGUCUAUUUCCUAUCCCUGCAUUGUUAGAAUCCUCAAAUUCAAACAAGCCCUUACUCAAUUACUUCUGUUACAGAUAUGUGUCAAAGAAAACCUUGUGUGGUUUGUCCUGCUCCUGCGGCGCUGUGUUCCACCCCAGCUCAGCUGCUCCAACAACGGAAGGGUUCACCACAGCAGGGAUCCGCUCUCCAGACUGUCUUUCGCUGCCUCGGAUCUUCUUCCCCGCCGCCGGCAGCCACGGCAACUGCAUUACCAUCAUCAACUGAGCAGAUGACCUUGAGGACUACACGGGUCCGCAAGAGAGGUCGCACUCUUCCGUGUCUGCUUACGUUAUGCGUCGCUUAAUAUGAUGACAUGCUACAUUAUCGUCGUGUUCACCUGUUAGACUCCGAGUUAGGUCCAAAUUAAUGCUGAAACCUGAGUUUUUAAAUGGUUGUGGGGUACAUAUUGGGGCAGCAAUCAGUACUAUCUGGUUAAUCUCCGAUGUCUACUAUGAGUUUCAUGUUGGGUGCAAACAAACAUUAAAGGAGCCAUUAUCUGUAUUUUUUAACUAAAGCUAUUAUCUGCCUACUAUCAUUGGUUUUGGGUCUAUCCACAGUUUUCUACCAUCACUCUGGAUUUGUGCAUGCACUCCUUACAUAAUCUCACUAUGUUUUAUUCCUAUGCAUGCCAUUUAUUGUACACAAUGGAACUGAUCAUGUAGAGAAAAAGAGACGAGCCUUGCAUGGCAAUAAAAUUUCAUGCAGAUGUUGUUCCAUGGUGGGCGCAAAGGCAGCCCCCCUCCACCCAUUUCGGAUCGUAAUCAAGAGGAAGAUAACUGUUCUGAGGGGGAUUCAGCAGGAGAAUACCACUCCUAUUUACCCCAUGAGGUCUUCGCUCUAACUUGGCAUGCUGAUGUUGGUAAUAUCAUGCAUAUGGUGCCUUGCAUUGCUUACUAUAUACAUUAAAGAUGACAUCUGCUUAGUUUAGACAUGCUUUGUGUCAAUGCCAUCUGUUUAGUUUCUUUAUCGUAUAUAUGAAUCAUGCAAUGCCAUCUUGUCUAGCCAGGCAUCAUAUAUGUGAAUUUUGCAAUGACACCCUGGUUAGCCAGUCAUCUUAUAUGUGAAUUAUAUCAUGCCAUCAUUUUUUAUUACGUGUUAAAUUUGUCAACAAUUUUAGUACAUUCAAUUACUCUUCCUGUGCAUCAGCCAUUCGGCAUGGUCAUGGAAAAAUCUGGAGUGAAAACAAGGUCUUCAGAGCAGACAAUGCUAUCUGACGAAGUGCAUGUCUUGCUGGUUACCGAUAGCUCCUCAGAGGAGGAUUCAGAGACAGAUGACCAAUCAUAUCCCCCCCCCCCUCCCGAGGUGCAUGCCCUAAUUUGGCAGGGUUAUGUUGCUCAUAUCGUGCGUAUGGUAUCUUGCAUUGCUAUGUCAUUUGCUUAGUUUAGACAUGCUUUGUGUGAAUGCCACCUGUUUAGUGUCUAAUUACCAUAUAUGUGAAUUAUGCAAUGCCAACUUCUUGCAAGACAUUAUAUAUGUGAAUUAUGCAAUGUCAUCUUGUUGCAAGGCAUUAUGUAUGUGAAUUAUGCAAUGCCAUGCUGUUUAGGCAAGCGUCAUAUAUGUGAAUUAUAUCAUGCCGCCUUUUUUUGUAUUUCUCAUUGCUUUUGUAGACAAUGUUUGUAUAUUCAACUGCUCUUCCUGUGCAUCAGCCAUUUGAAUUGGUGAUGGAGAAAUCUGGAGUGAAAACAAGGUCUUCAGAGCAGACAAUGCUACCUGCUGAAGCAGAUAUCUUGCUGGUUACAGAUAGCUCUUCAGAGGAGGAUUCAGAGGCAGAUGACCAGUCCUAUUAUCCCCCUGAGGUGUAUGCUCAAACUUGGCAGGGUUAUAUUACUCAUAUAAUGCAUAUGUUGUAUUGCAAUGCUUAGUUUUUACAUCAUAUACACAAUAUUGAAUGCCAUCUCCUUAGUUGACACAUCAUAUAUGCGAUUGCCCUCUGCUCACUUCCUUAGUAUAUAAAUCAUAUAUUUGAAUUAUGUCAUGCCAUGAUGUUUACAUAGACAGCAUUUAUCUGAAUUAUGGCAUGCCAACCCAUUUUCUAAAGACAUAAUAUAGUUAUAUCAUCUCAUCAUGUUUACAUAGUCAUCAUAUUUUAAAUUAUGCCAUUCUAUCUGUGAAUUAUAUCAUGCCAUCAUGUUUCCAUCGAUGGCAUGUUUGUGAUUUAUGGCAUGCCAACCACUUUAAUAGACACAUUGUAUAGUUAUAUCAUGUCAUCCUGUUUACAUAGUCAUCAUAUUUUGAAGUAUGUCAUUCUAUCAUGUUUAGUUAGCCAUCAUACAUGUGAAAUUGUGUCAUUCUAUCAUGUUUAAUUAGCCAUCAUAUAUGUGAAAUUAUGUCCUGCUAUUCUGUUUGCUUAGACAACAUAAAUGUGAAUUAUUUCAUGCCAUGUUUCUUCCCUACUAUCCAUUGCACCUGUCUAUCUUACAAUGUCUGUACAUUCAAUUACUUUUCUUGUUUAUCAGCCAUUUCAAUUGGAGGGAGUGAUGGCAGUAUCUGUGGGAGUAAAAACACGGUCUUCAGAAAAGAUCGUGCUACUUGUCGAUGCAGAUAGAACCAUGGUUGUACUUGCCCAAGAACUAGCCCCACCACACAUAGCCCACACUCAUGCAGAUUGUACCCCUACCUAGUUGGACAGAGAACCAGCUACACCUCUUCUAACCCCAACCCCAGCAGAUAGACACCCAGUUCCCGUUGACACAACAUCAUCGCCACCACAGAGCACCCAAACACGAGGAGUUAGUAAGGCAACUGCAGUGCCCAAAUCACGAGGACCACCACUCCGAACCCGAAGUCAAUGCUUAAAGCAGAAGAAGAAUUGUUCUCAGGUCAGGUUCCGUAGUUAUGGUUCAUACUACUUUGCUCUUGCAUCACUGUAUUUACUGAUAUCAACUAAUUUCAAAUUUGAAGGAUGCAAUUGAAACUCCAAUGGUGCAACAGGUAUGUUUUAAACAAGUUUCUUCAUAGUGUUUGGUUGUUUGCUAUUGUAACUUGCUCUAUGUUGAUUUUAGUUUCAAUUGAAUAAACAGUUAUGUUCUCAUGCCAUGCACAUUACAAGUGUUGUUGUCACUGUGUAGUUUCCCACACUUAUAUUAUGUCUAUGUUGCUUUGUCUUAAAUAGAUAUGAUUCGAACUGUAUCUAUCUUGAUUUGGCAACAUAAACUAGAAUGAUAUAGACCAUAUAGUGACCAUACUACAUAGAUAUAUGUUUGUUUCAUGUUGUUAUCCCAUCCACCUUACUACUGAAAUGGUUUACCAAAAUGAGUUUCAUAUACUACAUUGUAAACCUGAGAUGUGUUUGUUUGUUUCUCUUUUAGAACGCGGAUAAAAUAUUGGAGAAGAGUACCCUGUUAUGCAAUGGUAAAGGAAGUAAUGCAGAUAAGGUUCAAGAUAGUGAGACAUCCCUGUUGGUCCAAGAAAGCUGAUAAAAACUAUAUUGAAGACACUGAGACAACCCCAAAGUCCUGUCUUGAUGUAGUGUUCAAGUUACUGGCUACCACUGCUGGCACCAGCUCUUCGAACUCGUUGCCUCAAUCAAUUCGGCUUCUUGAGUCUCAACUUCAAGUUGAAAGACAUCGAUCAGAUGUUAUGCGACAGGAAGCCGAAGGACUGAGGAAGUCCCUGCAAAAUUCAGAUGCAUACUUUCUAGUGCAACAGCAAGCGCUGGAGGAAUUAAGCGCCAAACAAGAGAAAGUUAAUAAGCUUGCUAAGCAUCUUGCCAGAAUUAUGGGUACCCAGGAUAUUGUUUCUUGAACUCUUCUGAAGUGGUUUCAGUUCUGGACUUGUUUUGUUGCGGCGUUUAUAUGCUGCCGUGUUCCCUAUAUUUGCACUGGUGGCGAACUUUGAUGCCCAGUGGAUGUAAUAUGUGUAAUAGCCGUGAUAGCCUAGUGUAAGUUGCUUGCUUAUUUAUUUCCUUGUUGUCUUGUUUAUUUGUUUGCUUGUAGUCAGUGCAGUUCUUUUUCUGCGGUUUGCUAGUGGCUGCAAUAACCUAUUUUUUUAAAACUAGGCCACAAUAACCAUGGGCUAAUAUUUACUGUAGUGACACUGGGCCUCCUACGGGCCGUAGAAACAGUGGGCCUUCUAUGGACCUAAUUUUCUCGGCCGUCCAAUUUCAAUCGUAGGGACAAGAUAGCCCUACCCUAAUCCCUACCUUUUAAAACAAUCUAACCCACAUGGUACUUAUAGCAGAUGAAUCCCUACCCUUUUUGACAAACCCUAGACCAUUUCCCUUUGUUUCAGUGCGCCGCCGCCACUCCGUUUUCCUCGGGAUCCCUCCCGAUCCAGCCGACCCUGCCAAACUCCAUUGUUUCCAGGGAGGGCCAACCAUCUCCUCCCCAUGAUCCACCAAAUCCCCAACCUCGCAAGCCCCCUCGAUCCUCUCCCGAGCAGGUGCUCGCCCGGAGUCCCGUGCCCGCGUCCGGCAGAGGUCCGAGUUGCCGGGCCAGCAGAUGAGCUCCAUUCCCCAUUGCGCCUUUCUCCUCUCCUCUUCCUUCCUUCCUCCUCCCUCUCUCUCUCUCUCUCAUGCCCGAUCCUUCCUUCUCUGUCUCAGGUACCCUGGAGCCGCCAUGGAAGCCCCUACCACUCGACCUGGCCCUACCUCGUGGGAGAGAUCCUCACCGUCGCCGCGCCCGUUCCCGACCUCGACGACCACCUGCAGCCUCGCCAGGUUCGUCCUUGCAAGUCCCGCCGCCUUGCUUCGUCCUCUCUGUCCUCCCGUCGUGGAGCAGCACCGAGCUCGAGAGGAGCCCCGUUCGCGCCGGAUCCGCCGCACCCGCGGGUCCCCUGCCUCUGCAUCGCGUUUCUGGUCGGCCUUCCGCUCGUCGCCAUGACCGCACAGGUUCAAGCUCCGUCGCCCGUUGCCGUUCAUCAUGCUGUCCCGCGCGCCAACUGCCGGGAACCGGUUCCUCAUCGUCAAGACCUCCUGGGUCCGCGCCUCCAUCCGUUCCUUGCACUGCCUCGUCGCCGGAGUAGAAGCCCCAUCCGUCGCCGUUGCCUGCCUGCCUGCGACCUCUGCCUUGACCCGCCCCUGUUUCGUCCGAGGAGGAGGAAGAGCCCGUUUUCGUUCACUCGCGUUGACCGCACCCCUGCUUCGCCUCUUUCGCAGCGCCUCCUAGGCCCAGCUGCAACCUCCGCCAGCCCAAGCUGGCCUGCGGCACCGAACCAAGCCGGCCCAUCUACUCCUCUCCUUCGACCCAGCGCUCUCGCAGCCUGCAGCCAGCUCCAGCGACUGGGCCGAGGCCCAUGGUGAGCUCCCCAGUGCCCACCAGGUUUCAGCCUGCAUCUUUUUUUUCCGUUCUGGUGAUUUUAACAUUAUCCAGAGACUACCCAGUUUUGCAGAGAACCCCCUAGAUAUCAUGCAUUUUAUAACUCUUGAACCGUGCAUCGGAUUAAAAUGAUUUAAACAUGUAACUUGCGCAGUUUUUCAUCUAGUUUAAUAAUAUGCAACUUUCAUCUAUGUUUAAAAUGUUUAAAAUGAUGUUUGAUUAAAUUUGCUCCUAUGCCAUGCUAAAAUGACUUAAUUCAUAACUAAUUAACCGUAGCUCCAAAUUUAACAAACUUUAUAUGUAAAUGGGGUAGAAAAAUGCCUAGUUUAACAUGGUGCUUUCAUCUUGCAUGUUUAACAACCCUAAAAUUGUGUUUAGGGCAGAACAGUACCAAACCUAAUAUAUGCAUAUGAGGAGUUUCCGGACUUGUUGUUUUGUUGUUUCGGCCUCAUUUAAACUUGCCUAGAUUAGAUAGUUUCAUCAUGCUUCACCUCUUGCCAUGCUAACAACAUUUAAUAUUGUUGGGUACAUAAACGAGAUCGAACUAAAUAACUUGUCAUGGUGUUUCGUCAAUAUGCAACUCCAUUGCAUAAUGAGCUCCACUUAAUUUGUAGGAUUGUUUGUGCACUUUGCCAUGCCAUGCUUCAUUAAACCGGACAUGCAUCAUACUUGAUUGUGCAUCAUGCCAUGUUCAUGUCGUGGUUGUUUACUAUGUUGUUUGUUUCUUUCUGGUGUACUUCUUCUCGGUAAUCCGGUAACGUCGCGUUUGUGAGGACCCGUUCGGCUACGCCCGUUUGUCUUCUUCAUGGACUCGUUCUUCUUCCUCGUGGGAUCUCAGGCAAGAUGACCAUACCCUCGAAAUCACUUCUAUCUUUGCUUGCUAGUUGCUCGCUCUUUUGCUAUGCCUAUGCUGCGAUACCUACCACUUGCUUAUGAUGCCUCCCAUAUUGUUGAACCAAGCCUCUAACCCACCUUGUCCUAGCAAACCGUUGUUUGGCUAUGUUACCGCUUUGCUCAGCCCCUCUUAUAGCGUUGUUAGUUGCAGGUGAAGAUUGAAGUUUAUUCCUUGUUGGAACAUGGAGAUGUUGUUCCUUGUUGGAACAUGUUUACUUGUUGGGAUAUCACAAUAUCUCUUAUCUAAUUAAUGCAUCUAUAUACUUGGUAAAGGGUCGAAGGCUCGGCCUUAUGCCUGGUGUUUUGUUCCACUCUUGCCGCCCUAGUUUCUGUCAUAUCGGUGUUAUGUUCCCGGAUUUUUCGUUCCUUACGCGGUUGGGUUAUAAUGGGAACCCCUUGACAGUUCGCCUUGAAUAAAACUCCUCCAGCAAUGCCCAACAUUGGUUUUACCAUUCGCCGCCUAGCCUUUUCUUUCCCUUGGGUUCUGCAGACUUAAGGGUCAUCUUUAUUUAAACCCCCCCCCCCNNNNNNNNNNNNNNNNNNNNNNNNNNNNNNNNNNNNNNNNNNNNNNNNNNNNNNNNNNNNNNNNNNNNNNNNNNNNNNNNNNNNNNNNNNNNNNNNNNNNNNNNNNNNNNNNNNNNNNNNNNNNNNNNNNNNNNNNNNNNNNNNNNNNNNNNNNNNNNNNNNNNNNNNNNNNNNNNNNNNNNNNNNNNNNNNNNNNNNNNNNNNNNNNNNNNNNNNNNNNNNNNNNNNNNNNNNNNNNNNNNNNNNNNNNNNNNNNNNNNNNNNNNNNNNNNNNNNNNNNNNNNNNNNNNNNNNNNNNNNNNNNNNNNNNNNNNNNNNNNNNNNNNNNNNNNNNNNNNNNNNNNNNNNNNNNNNNNNNNNNNNNNNNNNNNNNNNNNNNNNNNNNNNNNNNNNNNNNNNNNNNNNNNNNNNNNNNNNNNNNNNNNNNNNNNNNNNNNNNNNNNNNNNNNNNNNNNNNNNNNNNNNNNNNNNNNNNNNNNNNNNNNNGCUGGUCUUGUUUUACCAUUGUCGAAAUGUCUUGUAACCGGGAUUCCGAGUCUGAUCGGGUCUUCCCGCUAGAAGGAAUAUCCUUCGUUGACCGUGAGAGCUUGUGAUGGGCUAAGUUGGGACACCCCUGCAGGGAUUUGAACUUUCGAAAGCCAUGCCCGCGGUUAUGGGCAGAUGGGAAUUUGUUAAUGUCCGGUUGUAGAAAACCUGAAGUUGCCCUUAAUUAAAAUACAUCAACCGCGUGUGUAACCUUGAUGGUCUCUUCUCGGUGGAGUCUGGGAAGUGAACACGGUGUUGGAGUUAUGCUUUACGUAGGUUGUUCUAGGAUCACUUCUUGAUCAUAGUUGUUCGACCGUGCUUUUGCCUUCUCUUCUUGCUCUCAUUUGCGUAUGUUUAGCCACCAAAUAUGCUAGUCGCUUGCUGCAGCUCCACUUCAUACCUUUUACCCUUCCUAUAAGCUUAAAUAGUCUUGAUCGCGAGGGUGUGAGAUUGCUGAGUCCCUGUGACUCACAGAUACUUCCAAAACCAGCUUGCAGGUGCCGUUGAACCGUGCAGAUGACGCAACCGAGCACAAGGCGGAGCUCGAUGAAGAUCGUGUCCUUUGUGUUGUUUCGUUCUAGUUCAUCAGUAGUGGAGCCCAGUUGGGGUCGAUCGGGGAUCUGUGUAGCAUUUGGGGUAGUCUUCUUUUAUUUUGGUUGCGUAGUCGGAUCUUGAGUGUAUUUGGAUGAUGUAAUGCUUUAUUCAUGUAAUUGUCUGAAGUGGCGAUUGUAAGCCAACUAUGUAUCUUUUCCCUUAUGUAUUACAUGGGUUGUGUGAAGAUUACCUCACUUGCGACAUUGCUUUCAAUGCGGUUAUGCCUCUAAGUCGUGCUUCGACACGUGGGAGAUAUAGCCGCAUCGAGGGCGUUACAAGUUGGUAAUCAGAGCCUUUGCCAACCUUAGGAGCCCCUGCUUGAUCGAAUCGCUGGCGUUAUUGAGUCUAGAAAUGUUUUGAGUCAUUUAGGAAUUAUAUAUAUAUCGGAGAGUUAGGACUUCUUUUUACUCCCCACUCCCUUCAUCACUCUGGUGAGGCAUCCUGACGUACAGUUUUGACUCUUCUCUUCUCAAAUUUCACUAAAAAAAAUUAGGAUCACGCGGGUAUCUUGGAAUCGUUCUGAUGGUUUUGUGACGAGAACAUUGUUCUUGGUGCCUCCUGACAUUUAGGGGUUGUGGCAGUGUCCCGGGGAGUUGAGCUCCGAGGUGUUGUCAUCACAAUUUUAUCGUUGCAGUUCUGGAAUACCUGAGUAUAGUUUCGCCGACAUCGAAAAUCUCUUUUAUGCAGUUGUUGGUGAGAUAACCUCGACGCCACCCAGUACUGGGGCGGGAGUUCGGGAGUAUUGCCAUAACUCGUAUAACGGAUGCUUUUUGAAGGUUGAGGUAAACGAUUUCCGAAGGUUUCUUGGUUAUGUGUUGAAGGAUGGAUACAGCUGGAUGUAGGAUUUGCUAGUUUUGGUUGAGAUAUUAUGCUUCCCCUGUAUCCCCAACACCUGAUUGCAUAACCGGAAAAUUUUCGGGAGUUUAUAAGUGGGAAUUCAAGUAGCUCUUAGGAUAUCUUUUCGACAGAUGUAUGAUACGAAAUUGGGGUUCGACGUCUAGUGGUCCACCUAUCCACGGUUGGUUUUACAAUGGUCUCGUUGUGUCUUAAAGAGUCCUUGGCUAUGCCGACUCGGGGACGCUUCGUAUGUCAUGUGCACUACCUUGUACAUGAUGGUGUUGUACGAUCGAGCCCGUGUAGGCCCCACCACGAAAACUUCGGACGAAAUCUCUAUCAUAUGUUUGUUCCGGCUUAUUCUGUAAGCCUAUCCUUGUUUUGUUUUGAGUGUGGUAUUCGAGUUUCUUCAAUGUCAAGUGUUGAUUCCAUACCUUUUUGAACCGGUGUUCUCAUACUCCAAUGAGAAUACUAUUCCUUCAUGAUAAUCGAGAUUGUCAUGUCAAUCCUUCUCACCGGUGUUUUUCUCUUCAAGUGAAUCCGAUCAUCUCUACAUCCACAAGAUCUAUUACUAGUUCUACUCAACGGUGUUGUCUUCAUCCGUUCCAAGUUGACUUUGUUUUUCCCACCCACCCACCCUUUUUAUUCGAGGACUCAGAUUUCUUAAUCAACUAUCCAUUUUAUUGAUGGAAGUCUCUCCAUUCUUACCCGGUGGUUCUCACGAAGAUUCUAAACGGAGCUUCAAGUUCGUCAUUCCUCAUUCUUUUUCUUCUCCGGUGGUUUCAAGUCAAGCUUUGUUGAUCAUACCUUUUCCUCAUUUCAAUGCUUUCUCAUGCUGGUGCAAUUCUUAUUCUUUCACCUCUCGCUAUUAUUUUGUUCCGGAGUGCUAGAGAUAUCUCAUAAGAUUUGUGUUUCCACUCUUAAUCCAUUCAAACUCUUUCGAGGGUGUUGUCUUAUUCAAGCCAUUUAAUUCAACCGGUGCAAUCUCUCCUUCAAAUCAUUCAACGGUGUAUCUUUUCAGUGGGCCCUAACCCACAGGUCUUUUCCAGGAUCUUACCUGACUCUUCUUAUUCUCCCGGAGUUAUUCUCAAAUUCAUUUCUAGUAUGACGUAAGAAUGAAUUAUCAUUAGUCAUAGGGUUUUUCUUCAAGAUCUGUCAAAUUCUUUUAAUCGUGGGCUCAACUUCUUCGCUUUUGAUUCUUCUGGAGUGCCUAAAUAAUCCAUGGUGGUGUUACUCGUCGUAAUUCUCAGAUUUUGAAGACCUAAGAAGAGUUCCUCUUAAAUCUUCCUCCGUUCUCGUGAAGAUUCAUGGUGCUAGACUUAUGCCAUCCUCUCAUAAUUGUUUUCGAUUGUGAGAAUUAUUUUGAACCAUCCGGAGUAAUUUAAGAGUCUUUUCAGUUUGUUUCUUUGAAGACCAUCAUUGCGGGGUUAUUCAUUCCAUCUUUCAGCUCUCGUUUCUCUAAAUCUUACCGGUGCAUCAUUCAAGUAAUCUCUAAUCAGUUCGUGAUUUAUUCGUUCAUUUGUAUCUAAAUCCCCUCAAGUAUCUUCAUUUGUUCUCUAAUUCUUCCAAGUGCUUCUUUAUCUUUUCUUCAAUCGUUUUCAAUUCUUACGGUGGUUCGUUCAAGAUUUCUCUUCCUUCUUUAUCAUAUCAAUUUAUUCGUUGUUUUCAAUCCUACCGGUGGUUCGUUGAAGACCUUUCCAAGUUGACUCUAUAUCUAUCUUAAUUCUUUCUACGAGAAUAAGUAGUAUGCCAAAGCCAUUGAUUGUCAUCAAUUUAAUUGGUGAAGGAUGAGCAUAACAUAAUUCUUAUUCUUGAUUCACCCAAGUGAUUAAUUCCCUAUUCCGGAGGCUCAUCAAAUUCCUGAUUUCAAUUGUUUUCAUCCUCUCUUUUUCCCGGAGUUCCAACCUUUUUCAAUUACAUCUCCACGGAGAUUCAUUUAAAUCAUUGCAAGGCUUCAACCUUAUCCUUUUCAUCCUCCAUUUCGUUUGAUCAUUCUUUUACCGGAGUUUUCACGAAGGCUCGACAUGGUGAUUCAUAUUUAAUUCCUUCUCGAAGUUUUUCAUCGAGAUUCAUUUCUAGGGAGCUCAAGUAUUCUUCAUCUUGCUAUCCGUAGUGCAAUUCUCUCUUCCAUACCAUUGGAGGUGGUAUUAUGUCAUUCUUGAUGAUUUCCCUUCGUGCUUCGUGAGUCACAAGUUAUCAAGAAUGAGAUAUUUUAAAUCCAUCAACCUUUUCGUUGGAGUUAUCUUUGGUUAUAUUUCACCUAAAGCUUUCCCUAAGGAUUGUGGCUAUUUAUGGUGCUUAUAAAUGAUCCAAGUUCUUCAUUUAUCCUCCCGGUGAAAUAAGUUUCUCGUCCCCUUGUUCUGAUCAAUCCAAUUCUUUUUUUCGUGAGUGGCAGGUUGUCACCUCAUAAUUUGAGAUGUAUUCCAUAAGACCAUACCAGUCUUAUUAUUUUCGUUGUUGGUUUUCCAACAACUCCGUUCUAGCAUUUGUUGUAAGCAUGCUCUCGUUUUUUCCCUUCGUUCAUUCCAUUCUUACUUUUCUUCCGGAGGCAUUGUGAUGCUGCUCUCUUCGACCCAUCAUCUUGUUUGUCAAGAUCUUGUUUCAAUUCCUUCCAUUUACAGGCAAAGUGUUGUCCAAAUUAUAUCAGUCUUAUUCCUUUGCUAUUUUGUUUUAACCGGAGUGUUGUGCCCUCUGCUCAAGUUCUUUUCAUCUUAUCAAGUCUUGUAUCACUUUUCAAUCGGAGUGCUGCCCGAAUUUAUUCUUCCUUGUUCCUCUUACUUAACGGAGUGCUUUCAACUUUGUUCUUCUCCAUUGCUUUCUUUCUUUCAUUUUGCUCAACCUUUUCAAGGUUCUUUGGUCUCACUCGUUUGUCAAAGAAGCAACUUAGUUUUACCUCUUCUCUUUCUCUUCCGUUUUCCCUCCGGUGCCAUUCUAGAUCUCGGAACGAGAUCCUUUCGUAGUGGUGGAGUGUUGUGACGCCCCGAGACCGAUGUGCCAGGUGUCUUCCAGCUAUUCGCUGUCGUUGCCAUGUCUUUUGCUUGCGUGUCGCAUCUUAUCAUGUCAUCAUGUGCAUUGCAUCCUCAUGUUUUAAAAAUUGCAUCCGUCCCGGCCUCCCUGUUUCUUCCGUUGUCCGUUCUGAGCCCAGACCCAUUUGCACGCGCCCACGGCAUGUCCGAAAUAGUAUUUUAUAAGUGGCCGGAAAAUGUUCUCGGAAUGGGAUGAAAAUUGGCGUGAGGUCUUAUUAUAGUGUAGAUAGACCGCCUGUCAAGUUUCAUCGCAUUCAGAGUUCGUUUGAUAGCCCAACCGUUAACUAUAGCGACAAUAUAGUCGGUCAAAACGUCGGACGUAUUCGGUCUCCAGAAACAGUCGCCGGGUCUCUCUCUUCUCUUCUCUCAGCCCAAGGCUUUCUGCACGGCCCACUACCUAACCGCCAGGCCCUACCUAACCUCUCUCGUCAGCCCAUGGCCAUCCUCGCGUGCGUCCGAAAAGUUGUCCCGGACCCGACCCGAGCAGUCACCACCAUUGUGUCCGGAUCAUACCCAAACGUCUACAAAACAUCAUCGUUUUCUUCUUUGACUCUCCUAACCUAAUUUUCUCGGCCGUCCGAUUUCAAUCGUAGGGACAAGAUAGCCCUACCCUAAUCCCUACCUUUUAAAACAGUCUAACCCACAUGGUACUUAUAGCAGAUGAAUCCCUACCCUUUUUGACAAACCCUAGACCAUUUCCCUUUGUUUCAGUGCACCGCCACCACUCUGUUUUCCUCGGGAUCCCUCCCGAUCCAGCCGACCCUGUCAAACUCCAUCGUUUCCAGCGAGGGCCAACCAUCUCCUCCCCAUGAUCCACCAAAUCCCCAACCUCGCAAGCCCCCUCGAUCCUCUCCCGAGCAGGUGCUCGCCCGGAGUCCCGCGCCCGCGUCCGGCAGAGGUCCGAGUUGCCAGGCCAGCAGAUGAGCUCCAUUCCCCAUUGCGCCUUUCUCCUCUCCUCUUCCUUCCUUCCUCCUCCCUCUCUCUCUCUCUCUCUCAUGCCCGAUCCUUCCUUCUCUGUCUCAGGUACCCUGGAGCCGCCAUGGAAGCCCCUACCACUGGACCUGGCCCUACCUCGUGGGAGAGAUCCUCACCGUCGCCGCGCCCGUUCCCGACCUCGACGACCACCUGCAGCCUCGCCGGGUUCGUCCCCGCGAGUCCCGCUGCCUUGCUUCGUCCUCUCCGUCCUCCCGUCGUGGAGCAGCACCGAGCUCGAGAGGAGCCCCGUUCACGCCGGAUCCGCCGCACCCGCGGGUCCCCUGCCUCUGCAUCGCGCCUCUGGUCGGCCUUCCGCUUGUCGCCAUGACCGCACAGGUUCAAGCUCCGUCGCCCGUUGCCGUUCAUCACGCCAUCCCGCGCGCCAACUGCCGGGAACCGGUUCCUCAUCGUCAAGACCUCCUGGAUCUGCGCCUCCAUCCGUUCCUUGCAAUGCCUCGUCGCCGGAGUAGAAGCCCCAUCCCUCGUUGUUGCCUGCCUGCGACCUCUGCCUUGACCUGCCCCUGUUUCGUCCGAGGAGGAGGAUGAGCCCGUUUUUGUUCAGUCGCAUUGACCGCACCCCUGCUUCGCCUCUUUCGCAGCGCCUCCUAGGCCCAGCUACAACCUCCGCCAGCCCAAGCCGGCCUGCGGCACCGAACCAAGCCGGCCCAUCUACUCCUCUCCUUCGACCCAGCGCUCUCGCAGCCUGCAGCCAGCUCCAGCGACUGGGCCGAGGCCCAUGGUGAGCUCCCCAGUGUCCACCAGAUUUCAGCCUGCAUCUUUUUUUUCCGUUCUGGUGAUUUUUAACAUUAUCCAGAGACUACCCAGUUUUGCAGAGAACCCCGUAGACAUCAUGCAUUUUAUAACUCUUGAACCGUGCAUCGGAUUAAAAUGAUUUAAACAUGUAACUUGCGUAGUUUUUCAUCUAGUUUAAUAAUAUGCAACUUUCAUCUAUGUUUAAAAUGUUUAAAAUGAUGUUUGAUUAAAUUUGCUCCUAUGCCAUGCUAAAAUGACUUAAUUCAUAACUAAUUAACCGUAGCUCCAAAUUUAACAAACUUUAUAUGUAAAUGGGGUAGAAAAAUGCCUAGUUUAACAUGGUGCUUUCAUCUUGCAUGUUUAACAACCCUAAAAUUGUGUUUAGGGCAGAACAGUACCAAACCUAAUAUAUGCAUAUGAGGAGUUUCCGGACUUGUUGUUUUGUUGUUUCGGCCUCAUUUAAACUUGCCUAGAUUAGAUAGUUUCAUCAUGCUUCACCUCUUUCCAUGCUAACAACAUUUAAUAUUGUUGGGUACAUAAACGAGAUCGAACUAAAUAACUUGUCGUGGUGUUUCGUCAAUAUGCAACUCUGUUGCAUAAUGAGCUCCACUUAAUUUGUAGGAUUGUUUGUGCACUUUGCCAUGCCAUGCUUCAUUAAACCGGACAUGCAUCAUACUUGAUUGUGCAUCAUGCCAUGUUCAUGUCGUGGUUGUUUACUAUGUUGUUUGUUUCUUUCUGGUGUACUUCUUCUCGGUAAUCCGGUAACGUUGCGUUUGUGAGGACCCGUUCGGCUACGUCCGUUUGUCUUCUUCAUGGAAUCGUUCUUCUUCCUUGCGGGAUCUCAGGCAAGAUGACCAUACCCUCGAAAUCACUUAUAUCUUUGCUUGCUAGUUGCUCGCUCUUUUGCUAUGCCUAUGACGCGAUACCUACCACUUGCUUAUCAUGCCUCCCAUAUUGUUGAACCAAGCCUCUAACCCACCUUGUCCUAGCAAACCGUUGUUUGGCUAUGUUACCGCUUUGCUCAGCUCCUCUUAUAGCAUUGUUAGUUGCAGGUGAAGAUUGAAGUUUAUUCCUUGUUGCAACAUGGAGAUGUUGUUCCUUGUUGGGAUAUCACAAUAUCUCUUAUCUAAUUAAUGCAUCUAUAUACUUGGUAAAGGGUCGAAGGCUCGGCCUUAUGCCUGGUAUUUUGUUCCACUCUUGCCGCCCUAGUUUCCGUCAUAUCGGUGUUAUGUUCCCGGAUUUUGCGUUCCUUACGCGGUUGGGUUAUAAUGGGAACCCCUUGACAGUUUGCCUUGAAUAAAACUCCUCCAGCAAUGCCCAACAUUGGUUUUACCAUUCGCCACCUAGCCUUUUCUUUCCCUUGGGUUCUGCAGACUCAAGGGUCAUCUUUAUUUAAACCCCCCCGGGCCAGUGCUCCUCUGAGUGUUGGUCCAAACUAGAGCCCUGUGCAGCGCCCCCUCGGGGAAACUCGAGGUUUGGUUUUAGUUGUAUGGAGAGCUCAUCUGAGUGUGCCCUGAGAACGAGAUAUGUGCAGCUCCUAUCGGGAUUUGUCAGCACAUUCGGGUGGUGUUGCUGGACUUGUUUUACCAUUGUCGAAAUGUCUUGUAACCGGGAUUCCGAGUCUGAUCGGGUCUUCCCGCUAGAAGGAAUAUCCUUUGUUGACCGUGAGAGCUUGUGAUGGGCUAAGUUGGGACACCCCUGCAGGGAUUUGAACUUUCGAAAGCCGUGCCCGCGGUUAUGGGCAGAUGGGAAUUUGUUAAUGUCCGGUUGUAGAAAACCUGAAGUUGACCUUAAUUAAAAUACAUCAACCACGUGUGUAACCGUGAUGGUCUCUUCUCGGCGGAGUCCGAGAAGUGAACACGGUGUUGGAGUUAUGCUUUACGUAGGUUGUUCUAGGAUCACUUCUUGAUCAUAGUUGUUCGACCGUGCUUUUGCCUUCUCUUCUCGCUCUCAUUUGCGUAUGUUUAGCCACAAAAUAUGCUAGUCGCUUGGUGCAGCUCCACUUCAUACCUUUUACCCUUCCUAUAAGCUUAAAUAGUCUUGAUCGCGAGGGUGUGAGAUUGCUGAGUCCCCGUGACUCAUAGAUACUUCCAAAACCAGCUUGCAGGUGCCGUUGAACCAUGCAGAUGACGCAACUGAGCUCAAGGCGAAGCUCGAUGAAGAUCGUGUCCUUUGUGCUGUUUAGUUCUAGUUGAUCAGUAGUGGAGCCCAGUUGGGGUUGAUCGGGGAUCUGUGUAGCAUUUGGGGUAGUCUUCUUUUAUUUUGGUUCCGUAGUCGGACCUUGAGUGUAUUUGGAUGAUGUAAUGCUUUAUUCAUGUAAUUGUGUGAAGUGGCGAUUGUAAGCCAACUAUGUAUCUUUUCCCUUAUGUAUUACAUGGGUUGUGUGAAGAUUACCUCACUUGCAACAUUGCUUUCAAUGCGGUUAUGCCUCUAAGUCGUGCUUCGACACGUGGGAGAUAUAGCCGCAUCGAGGGCGUUACAUACGUCUAGGCAUACCCUCGAGAAAAAAGAAGUUAACAAGUCUGAGAUUUCAUUUGCUACAUGCAUGCCGUAUUGCAAUAGCUUGUGUCACCCCCUCUAUUCCUGAAUAUAUCUUUUUAGAGAUUUUAAUAUGGACAACAUAUAAAUAUAAGUCUUUCUAGAGAUUUCAAACUACUCCCUUCGUCCGAUAAAAGUGUACAUAUAGAAAUUUUAGGCCAAAUUAUAAAGUGAAGUAAAAAAUCACACGAAAGGUGCAAGCCACUAUCUCUCUUCUUUUUAAUUAGCCAACCCGAGUACGCUAACAGCUUGUUUGGUUGAGGAUAUUAAAGGUAUGGAAUGGGAAUUUAAGGUGACAUAUUUGUUCGGUUGGAGGGCAAGGGAAUUGAGGUGGAAUGGGGAAAGAAAUUAAGGAGCUCAAUUCCCGUGUAUCUCUUUCCAGCCUCCACUUGUUAAUUCACGUGCGGAGUUAUUUUUUCUCAAAUUUCCUUUAUUAAUUUCCAUCACACACCAAACAUAGAAUUGAGACUAAAAUUCAACUUCCCACGCCUAAUCACUUACUGAACUCCCAUUCCCUUUCCUCAUUCUAGCCAAACAAACUUCAUGUAUUAGCGUCGUCAGUUCUUUUGCUGCGCGCCACGCCCCCCGCCCCCAGCCCUCCCUCCCGCCGCCGGCCACUUCGGCCGCGGCGUCCACCUCCCCUGCCACUGACCACCUCGGUCGUGGUGUCCACCCCCCUUGCUGGUCCUCCGGCCCCGGGUGCGAUGACGGGCGGCUCCUCUAGCCUGCCUUAGGUCUCCUCGAUGUUUCCUAGGCCGCAGCUAGUGGUUUCUGGACUGGGCCUCUCUGGAUCCCCUGGAUCCAGCCACGCUGCCUCUUCCGGUGGGGCGAGCCAGCAGGUGGCUGCCCUGUCGGCGGCUCAGGUGGAUUGAUUCCGUCACCCUAGGCCCUCCCGCAAAGUGAUGUGGCACUGCCAGUGGGCGCAGCGGCGUCAGCUGGAAGCUGGCUCGUUCGCUCGCAGGGUGUUGUCCUCGCCGUCUUCUUCGUGGGAGAGGAAGGAGUUUCCGAUCAAGCUGCAAGGUCUCUGCUUUAAGUGCUUCGGGGAUGACCACAAGAAGAAGGACUGCACCAACCAUCCCAUGUGCUUCCGCUGUGGCUUUGAAGGCCAUGAAUCGUUCCAAUGCAAGCGUCAUCGGAGUCCAGCUUCGGAGCGAGAGCUGAUUCGGGCGGUCCUGGCCAAGAUGGGUUGCCUGGCUCUGUCUGCUGUGGUGGCUAGUGUUGAGAGACAUACCUCACCGGCGCCUAGGCAGGAAGUACCCUUGGUACCUCCCUCGCCGGCGGCGGCUGAGCCUUUGUCCUUAGUAUGGCCAUCGACCCAGGUCUCUUCUGGGGUCAUCUGCGUUCUCCGCCGCUCCCGGAAGAUGGACGACAUGGAGCGCCGGCUUCGUCUGGUGAUGGUGGCCUACAUUGGGGGUGUGAGGCUGUCGGUCUCCUGUGUGGAGGCGGUGGAAGCCAUUUCAGUGUAGUUGGAGAUUCCGCGUCAUCGCGUCUCUGUUCAUCGUUUCCAGCCGGAGGAUUUCCUGAUCGUCUUUGCCACUCUGGAGCUUCGUAACAUCGCCCUCCGUGACAUCCCUGUUGACAAUGGAAGCUUCAAGCUUUUCUUUAAGCCAUGGUUGCGGCGGGCGCAAGCUACCGCUAAGGCCAUGAGGGUGCAGGUGGAUCUCAUGAUCGAGGAAAUCCCUUCACAUGCGUGGUAUCAAGAUACGGCUGCUGAGCUCCUUGGGACUGCUUGCAAAAUUGACAACUUGGCGCCUGAAACAGCGGAGAGAUCAGAUUUGUUGUUGUUCAAGGUUCGUGCUUGGUGUGUGCAGCCGGAGGAUAUCCUGGUGGACAAGAAGCUGUGGAUCCCUGAACCGGAAUUGGAAGAUGUGCAGCAGCAGCGUGCAUCGUCUCGCCAAUUCCUGGAGUGCUCGACGCUCAUUCACAUUGGCAGGCUCUUGGAUUUCAAUGCCCCGGAGAACUGGCGCCGUCCGGCGAGUUCUAGCAGUAGCGGUCAGAGUGGGUUGUCGGACGAUUCCGAUGGUUUCUCGGGAGGAGGGGGUCGCCAGGUGCUGCCAUGGACGCGCGGCAAGAGAGAUGACCGUGGUGGAGCUGCUGGGCCUGCCGGCAUUGGAGCCACUGGCAGGUCCUUCAGGCAAGUUUUGAUGGGCAGGUUGGGUGAGUCCAGCUGGCGUCUGCCUACUAUUGGAUCCAGCAACUGGCAGGUGGCAGGAGCGCCGACUAGCCGGAUUAGCACCUCCGGUGAGCUCUUGGCAUCGAGACAGGUGGUGCUGGUGCCAACGUCCUAGGCUGGCACACCGAAUCCUUGUGGCCGUCCUGUGGCUGCUGAGGCACAGCACACAGCGGCGCUCCCGAGGCUACUGGUUGACGUAGAUCCUGUGCCGGUGACAGUUGUCCCGCUGGCAAGGGUGACACUACCGGUACCCAUGGGCCCCAGGGUGGAUGUGGUGGUUGUGCCAACAGUGUUGGAGAUUCCCUCUAUCCACCUAUCGUUGGCCAAUCAGAGUGUGGUCGUGCCAUGUGGCAGUCGACAAAGAUGGGGUUGUUUUGGAAGGAGACAGAGACAGUGGCCCGCAGGAUCCCGAGGGGGAAGUGGCGGGCUCUACGGGCGGACCAGUUGAUGGGCCCCUUGAGGAGAUCAUGUCGGCCACCUCCCCAUUGGUGCCAGCUGGUGGGCCCCAGGAGAUUCCCUAGCAACGGGAUGUGACCCAGCCGUGCAACCUAUCACUGGCAGGAGAAACAGAUGUGACACGCACAUGCAACAUGCUAGAUAUUGCCACCACGCCUCCCAUGGCUCAGAUGGACGUGUUGCCUGGUGCGGAUGGUAGCGAUCAAAUGGUGCAAUGCCUGACGGAAAAAGAAAGAGUGGCAAUGGGGAAGCUGAAAUCCUUCUGUGCGGGACUUCUCAAGAAACUAGCACCACCGCUGCUUAAGGAAAUCGAAGCAAUCAAAGGGGUGCAUAUGGGGUAGGACCCGUUCACUCCUAGAUGCACCACCCGCUCGGUGAGCACUGCGGCGCCAAGAAAGCAAAAGGCCUCUGUUGCUGAAGCGGUACUGCUCAAGACUCUGGGAGUUGCAGAUGACGACCUUGCGGUCCAUGACGGUGCUAUGAGAAUUCUUAAAGAGAUAUUUGAUUCACCUAUUCAGGAACGUUAACUUAGAGCGAUAGCAGCAACCUUUGGCAAGUCUAUUCCCAUGGACUUGGAUAUGCUGGAUGGAGAAAUGAUAGUGGGCAUUGCGUGAGUAAGUAGAUUACUACCAGUUGGAUGCUAGACUUCUUGAUGUCUGGCACCAAUGUGGAGUUGGUGUGUUGGAAUGUGAGAGGCCUCAAUAGUCCGGCCAAGAAGAAGGCCCUUAGGGAAUUUGUAGAUUCUAUCAAUGUCACUAUCAUUUGUAUCCAGGAGACCAAAUUGGUUGUGGUGGACCGCUUUACUAUUCUGCAAUGUCUUGGUCCCGCAUACGAUGGUUUUGCCUAUCUCCCUGCCAAUGUGACACGUGGAGGUAUAUUGUUGGCAUGGAAUUUGACUCUAGUUCAGGUGUCCAACCUGGUCAAUGACUCGAAUUUCAUCACGGGCUAUGUUGCUCCUCUAGUGGGAUCGCCCGGGUGGCUAUCUGUUGUGUAUGGCCCCAGGAGGACGCGGAGAAAAUUGCUUUUUUGGACGAAUUGGUGGAAAGGCGCGCUCUUUGCCCGGGACCUUGGACGGUGAUCGGCGACUUCAACCUCAUCAUGUGUGCUUCUGACAAGAGCAACGCCAACCUUGAUAGGAGGAUGAUGGGCAGAUUUAGGCGUUUUAUCGACAACAUGGAACUGAAAGAGCUCUUCCUUCAUGGGCGCAAAUUCACUUGGAGUAAUGAGCGAGAGCUAGCCACCCUCACCAAGAUCGAUCGUGCUCUCGUCUUGGUUGACUGGGAAUUGGAUUACCCCAAUUGCAUGUUGCAAGCAUUGUCCACUGAUAUAUCUGAUCAUUGUCCCCUGCACCUUGCACUAGAGGAACACAUUCUCACACCUAGGCGCUUCAGGUUUGAAGUUUUCUGGACCAAGAUCGACGGAUUCGAGGAGGUUGUGAAGGACGCGUGCGCACCGGGCAUCACGGAUCAGUAUAAGCGCCUUGAUGAGCUUCUUAGGAACACCGCCAAAUUUCUCAUGGCUUAGGGCAGAAAAAGAUUGGCAAUGUCAAAAUUCAGAUGGCAAUCGCGAGGUUGGUUAUCAAGUUGUUUGACAAGGCCAUGGAAGACAGAAACCUGACUACGGAGGAGAGAUGGCUCCGUGGUCUUUUGAAAAAGACUCUGCUUGGCCUGGCUUCGCUGGAAAGAACGAUGGCUAGGUAGCGAUCUCGGAUCAAAUGGCUUCGUGAGGGCGAUGCAAAUUCAAAAUUCUUCUAGCUUUUUGCGAACGGGGGGAAGGCCAAGAACUACAUUCCGGCGAUCUCGGUCAAAGGACAGAUCACCGAUUAGUAGGGAAAGGAGACGGCUUCCCAUCAGGCUUACGAGGAGAUUUUGGGCACAUCCAGGGCGAGAGAGUUCACUCUUGAUCUGCAAUAUCUGAAUAUGGAGCCCAUCGAUUUGUCCGAUCAGGACACCAUUUUUUCAAAGGAGGAAAUCAGGAAGGUCAUAAAAUACAUGCCAGCUGACAGAGCGUCGGGGCCGGACGGAUUCAUUGGGCUCUUCUUCCACAAAGCUUGGCCCAUAAUUAAGGGAGACGUGAUUGCUGCGAUUCAGAAGUUUAUGCUGGAUAAUGGACGAGGUUUUGGCAGGUUCAAUAAGGCGUUGAUCACUCUAAUCCCAAAAAAACCAGAUGCUUCAGAGAUAGGGGAUUUUAGACCGAUCAGCUUGCUCCACAACAUCCCUAAGAUCUGUGCCAAGCUAUUGGCAACCAAAGUUAGUAGGCGCAUGGAGGAGAUGAUUCACUCAAACCAAUCAACUUUUAUCAAGGGCAGAAAUCUACAUGACAAUUUCAUGCUUGUGCGUCAAGUGGCGAGGAACUUGUACAAACGGAAAGCUAAGGGUGUGAUGGUGAAGAUGGAUAUCUCAAGAGCGUUUGAUUCGCUCUCCUGGCCGUUCCUUUUUGAAGUGCUUCGUGCGAAAGGAUUCUCUGAUAGAUGGAGAUCGCUCAUUGCCACGCUGUUAUCCUCGGCCAGCUCUAGAGUGAUUGACAAUGGCAACGUAGGAGAGAAGAUCAUGCAUGCACGUGCCUGAGGCAGCGCGACUCAAUCUCCCCUCUCCUGUUUGUCAUUGCUAUGGAUGCCCCGUCACCUCUCAUCGUUCGGGCCCAACAAACUGGAGUCCUAAGCCCGAUGCUCGGAUGCUCUCUGAUACAACGGCUCUCGAUCUAUGCAGAUGAUGUAGUUCUCUUCAUCAGGCCGACACACAUGGAUCUAGCGUUUGUCAAGGAAGUAAUGCACAUCUUUGGAGAGGCCUCGUGACUGAAGAUUAACUACCAAAAAUCUCAGCGAUCCUGAUUAGGACGGACUUGGGGGACACCGAGAGAUUAGCCGCAGCCCUACCUUGGAGGAUUCAGAGUUUUCCGUGCAAGUAUCUUGGCCUCCAACUCUCGAUCAAACAACUAACACGCAAUCAGUGGUAGCCAAUGGUUGACGCAACGCUCAAAUUUCUGCCAGCAUGGAUGAGAGGCCUGAUCACAAGGUCGGACAGGUUGAUUCUAAUCAACAACGUCGUGAGGGCUAGGCCUACCCAUCAUCUUAUCGUGGCCAAUGCUCCAAAGUGGGCCUUGGACAGUAUCGACAGAGGAUGUAAGGCGUUCUUUGGGAUGGAACAGAGGAGAUCCACUGUGGGAAGUGUCUGGUGGCCUAGCGCCGGGUAUGCCGGCCGAAGGAGCUUGGCGGGCUAGGUGUGAUAAAUCUACAUACUCAAGGAAUUGCCCUGAGACUCACAUGGGCAUGGCUCAGACGUACUGACAACUCCAAACCUUGGCAGGGUCUGACUAUGUCGGCGGACAAGGAGAUGCAAGCAGCUUUCGCUAGCUUAGUGCAUUGGACUUUGGGCAAUGGGAGCCAAAUCUUGUUUUGGAAGGAUAGAUGGAUCCAGGGACUCCGCAUAGCGGAAAUUGCACCGCUGGUAGUAGCACAAGUAAGAACUCAAACGGUGAAUCGACGGUUGGCAAGGGAAGGGCUGACUUCAAGUAAUUGGAUCAAUGACAUCAAUGGGGAGCUGUCCACCGAGGGACUUGUCCAAUUCAUCCACCUGUGGGAGAUCUUAAGUGUUGCAUAUCUUGACACUUCAAUGGAAGAUCAAGUGAUCUGGAAGUGGUCGGCAUCGGGACAGUACUCGACUUCAUCUGCUUACCAUAUUAUGAACGAGGGAGCUGUCAGACUAGGAUGCGCCAAAGGACUGUGGAAAUCCUUGGGCCCAUUAGGUUGCAUAUUGUUCAUGUGGUUGGCGCUGCAGCGAAGACUUUGGACCUUCGAUCGAAGAUUUCGGCAUGGAUUACAGGACGCAACAUUAGUGUGUUUCCUUUGUGAUCAAGAGGAAGACUCGGUGGAUCAUAUAAUGCUCCAAUGUGUUUACUCGAGGCAAGUGUGGUUCCAAUGCUUCUGGUGGGCCUAGAUUGACAUGCAGAUGCUUCGCUGGCCAACCGCCCGAAAGCGGAUCCCCAAGAGGUAUCAAAAGGGGUUUGACUCGCUGGUGCUACUGACUUGUUGGAGUAUUUGAAAGCAAAGGAAAAGACGAGUUUUUGAUGGCCAAGGCAUUAGCAAUGAAGAGGAACUUUCCACGAAGAUCUACCAAGAGCUACGACUUUGAUUAGCGACAGGAGCGAGGAGUGUACAACACUUAUGUGAGUAGUCGUGUAUGAUAGGAGUGGGAGUGGGAGUCUUAUUGGCAUCACCAACCACAUGUGAGGGCCAGAACAAUCUUCUUGUAAUUAUUUCUUCCUUUUAUAAAGCUUAGGAUGUUAUAAAUGAAGGUCAUUUUAGCCAAACACGUUGUAAAUGAAGGUCACUUUAGCCAAACACGUUGCAAAUGAAGACCACAUAUAGAAUGUUAUUGUUGUUUUACCACCUGAAGAUAAAAGAAAUUAGAAAUAUAGAAAUACACUCUUGUGGACAAAUUUUAAAGCAUUGAAAAGAUAGAAAUACAUUCUUUUAUGGACAAAUUUUGAAGACAAAUGUACAUUCUUCGCCGGACGGAAUACAUAGAAACAUACAUAGACAAAAAAAAUUGGAGCAUAGAUUCACUCAUUUACAUUUCGCUGGACGGAGUACAUACAAACGUAUGUAAGACAUAGUUUAGAAUGGAGAUUCACUCAUUCUAAUGUAGAUUUAUUUGCAGCAUCCAAAGAAAUAACUGUAUCCACGUCAACACAUUCCCUGCCAUGCGCAAUCUAAUUCCUAAUCCUAAACAAUCAAGAAGCAGGACUUGUAGCAUCCAAAGCAGGAUGUAACCAUUGUCCACAGAUUCAGACCAGGCUGCCAUCCGGGAUCAAAAUCCUAAUCCUGAACAAUCAAGAAGCAGGACUUAUAGCAUCCAAAGCAUGAUGUAUCUAUGUCAACACAUUCAGACCAGGCUGCCAUCCGGGAUCAAAAUCCUAAUCCUAAACCAUCAAGAAGCAGGUAGCACCACCCAGCAAAUCAAACUCUACACGCAGCAGAUAAGAGCAUCCAGACAAUAAUGCUGAUGCAUGCAAAAGCAUAAAGUACUUGAUGGCCGAAUAUUAGCAGCAAAUAAAGCUCCAAAACAGAGUUCAUACAGUUGGAUAGAUUGGUCAUGAUAGCAAAACUCCUGGUACAACUAAAAGCAACGAUAACAGGCCUACUAAAGUGCAGGUUUCUGGAAUAAGCGAGUUGACAGAUGAGAAGAAUGGCGCCACCAUGCCAAGCAAGUACGCCCGCAGUCAGCCGCAGCCAAAGACACACAUAGGAAGCUACAGCACACCGUCACCACCCCCAUCAGCCUACUUGGAUCGCUGCCUCAUCUUUCGGCGCUUCCUCUUCAGCCUCCUCAUGCGCUUCUUCUUCCACUGAAUCAAGAGAUAAGCCAAGUUAAAAAGGAUACAUGAUCACAUAAAUUAUUCAAUAAAACAAGAAUAGAAGG
Molecule: long non-coding RNA, 40992 nt
Filed under: Triticum aestivum (bread wheat)
Lineage: Eukaryota; Viridiplantae; Streptophyta; Magnoliopsida; Poales; Poaceae
Description: long non-coding RNA (TAES_LNC014849)
Source: RNAcentral